AACUUUUAGUUAGAGUUUGAUCCUAGCUCAGGAUGAACGCUGGCGGCGUGGAUAAGGCAUGCAAGUCGAACGGACUUUCUAAAAUCCGAGAUGCGAUUAUAUCAAGUCAAAGGUCGUAGAAAGUUAGUGGCGAACGAGGUAGUAAUACAUAGGAACUUCCCCAAGAGUCGUGAAUAAUUCGUCGAAAGACGAACUAAUACACGAUGGUCUCGUAAGAGUAAAGUUUUAACGCUCUUGGAAAGGCCUGUGCGAUAUCAGCUAGUUGGUAGUGUAAUGGACUACCAAGGCUAUGACGUCUAGGGGAGCUGAGAGGCUGACCCCCACCGAUGGUACUGAGACACGGACCAUACACCUACGGGUGGCUGCAGUCG
This 371-nucleotide ribosomal RNA is filed under the name Candidatus Nomurabacteria bacterium RIFOXYD1_FULL_39_12. Its description in RNAcentral is "bacterial SSU rRNA". It matches the Rfam family "Bacterial small subunit ribosomal RNA", at positions 1 to 357 of the family's 1533-position model. Lineage: Bacteria; Candidatus Nomuraibacteriota. The record is from RNAcentral.